UUGACUGAGCGGCGGACGGGUGAGUAACGCGUGGGUAACCUGCCUCAUACAGGGGGAUAACAGUUAGAAAUGACUGCUAAUACCGCAUAAGACCACGGUACCGCAUGGUACAGUGGUAAAAACUCCGGUGGUAUGAGAUGGACCCGCGUCUGAUUAGGUAGUUGGUGGGGUAACGGCCUACCAAGCCGACGAUCGGUAGCCGACCUGAGAGGGUGACCGGCCCCAUUGGGACUGAGACACGGCCCAG
Molecule: ribosomal RNA, 247 nt
Filed under: uncultured bacterium
Lineage: Bacteria
Description: partial 16S ribosomal RNA
Rfam family: Bacterial small subunit ribosomal RNA
Source: RNAcentral